CCGCCGGGAGGGGCGGCAGAUGGAGAACCCCCCCGCCCGGGCUAGGGAGGGUGUGCCCGGGAAAGAAGACCGGGAGAGGAGGGGGCGUCUCCCCAGGCGGCUGGGACGGCUCCUCCGGGGGUCCGCGCCUUUCCAGAGAAACUCAGCGUUCGCAGACUCCUGCCCGGGUGCCCAACGGACAGCGGCCCGUGGCCCGGAGGGUCCUGCCCAGGGACCCGACGCUCAAGGCGGAGCUGGACUCCUUCUCCCCACCCUCCCGUGGUCACUGCGGGACCUGGUGGUCGUCACGCCCCAUUCCUCAACUUCAGAAGGAUCACUCUGGCCAAUUGUAGACCACAGCCUAUAGGAGUAGCCAAGGAAGCCUGAAGUCUAAUUAAGAGCUGGUUCAAGGCACCCAGGAGUCUUGGAUGCUUGCACUGGAGUAAGAGGAGCAAAGCUGUGAAGUCGAGACAAGGACCAGUUAAUGAUGCCUAGUGGAAGUGAAGCCAGCAGGAUGUGCUGAUGGAUGGGUGUGGACUGUGGGAGGGAAAGAAGAGGCCACUGUUUUGGCCCAAACAACUGGGUACCUGAGGGUUCUCUUUAUGGAGGUGAGGAAGAGAGGGGGUGAGUGACCUUGGUUGGUACAUUGGUACAGAUGAGGAAACUGAGGCUCAUAGAGGAGAUUAAGCCACUUGCUGGUAUGUGACAGCCCAUACAUUGAAAAUCAGCUCUCUGCACCCCCUGGAAGGAGCCGGGCCAGUUUAUGACCACCAACCCUAAGGCAAAUUGAGUAUUGCAUUGGUACGAACCGUAAGCCAUAUGUCAUCCCCUCUUUCAUUAACUCCAGGUCUAAGUCUGGCUAAGGUAGAGAGGAGUCAGAGGUGUGGAAUGUAGAAAUAAUACAUUCUUCCUCUCUCCGUGUGGAUAAAGAUUCCAGCCUUUAUUCCAUCUAAUGAAAAUAUAUUUAGGGAACAUUUAUUGGGGGCCAUUCGCUGUCUGCCCUUGUUCCUUUAUUUGUUUGCUUGCUCAUUCCUCGUUCCAUGUCAACUCCAUGAGGGGACAAUGUCUGACGUGCUCACCCCUGUAUUCCUAUCCCCUAAAACAAGUGUGUAUGUGAAGAUAAGUCCUUGUCCAAUGAAUGAAUACU
This 1126-nucleotide long non-coding RNA is filed under the name Homo sapiens (human). RNAcentral describes it as "HSALNT0371676". Lineage: Eukaryota; Metazoa; Chordata; Mammalia; Primates; Hominidae. The record is from RNAcentral.